RNAcentral lists this ribosomal RNA (417 nucleotides) under uncultured bacterium. Its description in RNAcentral is "partial 16S ribosomal RNA". It matches the Rfam family "Bacterial small subunit ribosomal RNA", at positions 355 to 762 of the family's 1533-position model. The record is from RNAcentral.
UGGGGAAUUUUGGACAAUGGGCGAAAGCCUGAUCCAGCAAUGCCGCGUGUGUGAAGAAGGCCUUCGGGUUGUAAAGCACUUUUGUCCGGAAAGAAAUCCUUGGCUCUAAUACAGUCGGGGGAUGACGGUACCGGAAGAAUAAGCACCGGCUAACUACGUGCCAGCAGCCGCGGUAAUACGUAGGGUGCAAGCGUUAAUCGGAAUUACUGGGCGUAAAGCGUGCGCAGGCGGUUUCGCUAAGACCGAUGUGAAAUCCCCGGGCUCAACCUGGGAACUGCAUUGGUGACUGGCAGGCUAGAGUAUGGCAGAGGGGGGUAGAAUUCCACGUGUAGCAGUGAAAUGCGUAGAGAUGUGGAGGAAUACCGAUGGCGAAGGCAGCCCCCUGGGCCAAAUACUGACGCUCAUGCACGAAAGCGU